UCACCGACUUAAUACGUUUACAUGCUCUGCUCUGGCUCAGAAUAUACCAGAAUAUGAAAAUGAAAAUUUAUCAAUUUAAGGCAUCAUCCAACUCAUAAAACCGCAUGAGUAUCCACAUAGCAUCACCAAACUUCAUAAGGACCAUAACAAGUCCAGAAAACCAUCUUAUGAUCAACGUCACUUAUAAUAUUCAAUUGGUAGUAACCAGAUCUCAAUUCAAUCUUUGAAUCUUCGCAAUUACUUAUGAGCUGGUUAAAUAAACAUCAGUACAUCACCAUGGAUAACAGUUCUCAAUCGUUACCCGACUCCAUUGUCUAUAAUCAAUGAACAGUCUCAAGAUCCAUUUUCUUCCUCACCAACAAACUGGGGCUCCUCAAAAGUGUUGUACUAGGUUGAAUGAAGCUUUUAUCAACCAAUUCUUUCAACUGAAUUUCCAAUUCCCUUAACUCAUCCUAAACCAAUCUUUAACAUAAAUUUAUACCUGACAACAAUUCAAUAAUGAACCUCAUAUCUCUGCCUGAAGACAAUCCAGGUAUACUUUCAAGGAAGACAUCAAGAAAGUCUAACCCCUUUUGACAUUAUUCACACUACUCCAAACAACAUCAUUUAGCACCACAUGAGCUAAUAAUUUUUUUGACAGCCUUUCGAAAACAAUCUCUUUGCUCUCACAGCAAAUAACGGCCUGACUCAAUCCACUUUGCAUACUUACAAAAGUAAUCUCUGGUCAUCCAGAUCGAUGGAAAGUACUGGUUUCCCGUAACAUUCCGUCUUGUCACAAUUAUAACCAACCAAUCUAAUGGAACAGAAUUAACUGACACAAUACAUACUUUAUUAUUACUGAACAUUCUGAAUAAGUACAAUACUAACAUAAAAUAAUCUACCGGGUUGCUUGCUUAACGAAUCCACAAAUGAGUUAUUAAUAUUACGGUCUGCAGCCCGCAAUACUGAUAAAUCAUCGUUGUCUCGAUAAGUAGGCAACCACUCUCAAAGAUAUAACAUUACUAUUUUGUUACUCAAUGCAAAAUACAUACACUCGUCUCAACUACAUUUAUUUACUACUCUCUAGGUAACAACAUACAUAAUAAGAAAUAUAUCAGCCGAAGUCAACUAGAAUGACCAAUACGGCUGAUUCAACUCUUAUCUCAAUAAUACGUCGGCCGGAUCCACUCCGCGUGGUCGGUACGGCCGAACCUAUAACUCACCAAUUUCUCAUGUGUCAGUCGAAUCCAUUUCUCAUGGUCUGUACGGCUGAACAUAUAACUCAUCAAAUCUCUCUGUACUCACGGUCAAUCCGACCAAACUACUAAGUCCAUAACUCUGCUGAAUCGACACUAUGAUAUCAUGGAAAAUUGUUGAGUACAACUGAUUCUAGGGACAAUUCACAAUUCUGCGUCCCCUCUGUUCACAUAAACACAUUCAUUAAUUUCACACUUCCCAAAGUGUUAAUUUUUGUACCUGCUGCACAAGGUACAUUUCCUUUACUCGAGACACCUUGUCUCAAAUAUCUGGAUGGAACGAGGCAAGUCUGAAAACUUUCUAUAAUAUUCAUUUAUCGUCAACUUCCUUGAUUCACAUUUGCAAACUCUUGCUUACUACCAUCGAUAAAUGCCGGAGGGAUAAACUUUUCCUUAAACAAGUCCUUAAAUAAUUCUCAAUCAGCUGUUUCCUCCGGUGACAACAAUUCAUCGAUUCCUUUAGUGAUCAAAUCGAUCUGAUGUGUCUAAGACUUAUCUUGUCUUCCUUUCCAAAUCUUGCUAUUUCUUUUCAUGGUGAAAUUUCCAAAAAUAUAAAAUCAUCUACGUUAUACACUCGAUUAGUGGUAUAUUCAUCUGUUGAUGUCUUUUGUCAUUCCUGGUUACUUUUAGGUUAACUUAAUCACCUGAAUACUUUGAGGAGACUCAUCCAUAGUCUCAGGGUCUACUAAAACUCUUUCUUGAUCGAAUCUUUCUCUACCCAGAAAUAUUCCAUUCACAAGUCAACAAAACACCCCAUGACACACUUCAUGAACCUUAUGGCUUCACUUCGGAAACUGCGCAACCAACAUACUUAAGAAACUUAGCAGUUCCGUAAACCAAUUCUUCUUUCUAUAAAACAAAUAAGUACCGUUACUCAACCCUGGAGUAAAUGUACUAACUUGGUACAUUGAGCAACUAUCGCUUCAAAUUCAAUCAUAACCAUCCUAUGUAUCAUGAAACUUGUACACAUAAUCCAAAGUAAUAUUUUUCCAUUUCCACUGCGAAACAGAAAAUAACCGUCUCAAUCCAAAGGUUUACUUCUUUCUACUUCAAUCUGUUGACCAAUAAAAACGUCAAAUGGUAUACUAGAUCUCAAUACUUUUGGAAUAUUGCAGAAGUUGUACAGUGUACUUCGUCCAAAAUUGCUUGCUUUAAAUCCUCAGCAUUCGGUACAUACUUCUUGUUUUCUUGUAUCCACAUACCAUUUGAUUCACGAAUCAUGUACUCAUUCUUUUUCCCUUCUUUCUCUGCCUUGGUUAAUUCUUAAAUUUCCUCGUCAAACAUUUAAAUUUCGAGUACGACCUUACCAAACAGGCCUAACUUGAAAAUUAACAAGUAUAACUUCUUCUCGAUCUUUCAUUCUUAACUUUACUUUAAUUGAUUUUCAAUCCACGAGAAGAUAAUCUUGGCAAGCGUGCCUGACAUUAAUCUUACUGCAAUCUUUUCACCAAGUGUAUCAGCUACAACAUUUCACGAUCACCCUGAUCGUACAAUCAUAAUCACUAAGUAAUUCAAUCCACCUUUGUUGCCUCAUAUCAAAAUCCUUCCGAGUAAACAAAUAUUGGAGACUCUUUUGAUUUGUAAAAUCUUGCAUUCUUAUCAACAUAUAAUGCCUUCAUAACUUCACAGCAAGAAUGGUAAUCAUGACUUCUAAGUCACCCGUAGGGUAAUUCAUUUCAUGAGGUUCCAUUUAUCGUGAAAUGUAUGCAAUCACCCUAACAUUUGCAUCAACAUGCCUCUAAUACCAUUCAAGAAACAUCACUAAAAAUUUAUGAUUACCACUAUUCUCGGGGAUUACUAAAAUACGUGCAUGAGUGAGGAAAUACUUCAGUUGUUGAAUCCUUUGCUCACAAUUUCCUUCCCACUCAUACAUAACCUCUUUUCUCAACAGUCUCGUCAAUGACAAAGCAAUGACUAAAAACUCUUUCACAACCAUCCAAGAUAGCCUGGUAAGUUAAGAAAUUCCAAAUCUCAAUUACGACUCGUGGUUGUUCCAAAUUCUCAAUUUCUGCUAUCUUUUAAGGAUUCACUUGAAUACCUUAAGAAUAUAUAACAAAUCUCAGAAUGCCACCUGAUUCAUCUAACUUUAGCAUUUGCUACUUAGCAUACAACCAACGUUCUCUCAAUCUUUGCUUCACCGACUUAAUACGUUUACAUGCUCUGCUCUGGCUCAGAAUAUACCAGAAUAUCUUCAAUGAAAAUGAUAUCAAUUUAUCAAGGCAUUAUUGGAAUACUUCAUCCAUCAACUCAUAAAACCGCAUGAGUAUCCACAUAGCAUCACCAAACUUCAUAAGGACCAUAACAAGUCCAGAAAACCAUCUUAUGAUCAACGUCACUUAUAAUAUUCAAUUGGUAGUAACCAGAUCUCAAUUCAAUCUUUGAAUCUUCGCAAUUACUUAUGAGCUGGUUAAAUAAACAUCAGUACAUCACCAUGGAUAACAGUUCUCAAUCGUUACCCGACUCCAUUGUCUAUAAUCAAUGAACAGUCUCAAGAUCCAUUUUCUUCCUCACCAACAAACUGGGGCUCCUCAAAAGUGUUGUACUAGGUUGAAUGAAGCUUUUAUCAACCAAUUCUUUCAACUGAAUUUCCAAUUCCCUUAACUCAUCCUAAACCAAUCUUUAACAUAAAUUUAUACCUGACACAAUUCAAUAAUGAACCUCAUAUCUCUGCCUGAAGACAAUCCAGGUAUACUUUCAAGGAAGACAUCAAGAAAGUCUAACCCCUUUUGACAUUAUUCACACUACUCCAAACAACAUCAUUUAGCACCACAUGAGCUAAUAAUUUUUUUGACAGCCUUUCGAAAACAAUCUCUUUGCUCUCACAGCAUAAAUAACGGCCUGACUCAAUCCACUUUGCAUACUUACAAAAGUAAUCUCUGGUCUGGUCAUCUCUGGUCAUCCAGAUCGAUGGAAAGUACUGGUUUUCCCGUAACAUUCCGUCUUGUCACAAUUAUAACCAACCAAUCUAAUGGAACAGAAUUAACUGACACAUAUACAUACUUUAUUAUUACUGAACAUUCUGAAUAAGUACAAUACUAACAUAAAAUAUAAUCUACCGGGUUGCUUGCUUAACGAAUCCACAAAUGAGUUAUUAAUAUAUUACGGUCUGCAGCCCGCAAUACUGAUAAAUCAUCGUUGUCUCGAUAAGUAGGCAACCACUCUCAAAGAUAUAACAUUACUAUUUUGUUACUCAAUGCAAAAUACAUACACUCGUCUCAACUACAUUUAUUUACUACUCUCUAGGUAACAACAUACAUAAUAAGAAAUAUAUCAGCCGAAGUCAACUAGAAUGACCAAUACGGCUGAUUCAACUCUUAUCUCAAUAAUACGUCUGCCGGAUCCACUCCGCGUGGUCGGUACGGCCGAACCUAUAACUCACCAAUUUCUCAUGUGUCAGUCGAAUCCAUUUCUCAUGGUCUGUACGGCUGAACAUAUAACUCAUCAAAUCUCUCUGUACUCACGGUCAAUCCGACCAAACUACUAAGUCCAUAACUCUGCUGAAUCGACACUAUGAUAUCAUGGAAAAUUGUUGAGUACAACUGAUUCUAGGGACAAUUCACAAUUCUGCGUCCCCUCUGUUCACAUAAACACAUUCAUUAAUUUCACACUUCCCAAAGUGUUAAUUUUUGUACCUGCUGCACAAGGUACAUUUCCUUUACUCGAGACACCUUGUCUCAAAUAUCUGGAUGGAACGAGGCAAGUCUGAAAAACUUUCUAUAAUAUUCAUUUAUCGUCAAACUUCCUUGAUUCACAUUUGCAAACUCUUGCUUACUACCAUCGAUAAAUGCCGGAGGGAUAAACUUUUCCUUAAACAAGUCCUUAAAUAAUUCUCAAUCAGCUGUUUCCUCCGGUGACAACAAUUAACAAUCCUGUUUCCACCAGGAUACAAAUUCAUACCCAAAACCAGGUAGUCGUCUCGACCCCUUGUCAGAAGGAAAUUUCCUUUGACUUGCAUAACCUGAAACAUCUUUUCCAAAUGGUUAAACCGUUACUUCGCUCCCUCAGGUUCAUCAUUUCAUAAGGUGAUUCAAAUUCGACUCAUAAUCCGUCUUAAAAUGUCCCUUUUUAUAAUAGACUGAAUCACCAUAAUAAUAGUUUUCCCUAAACCGAUAUAUUAGGGAGACUAAAUUCCUCCAACUAAGUGGCUUACUACGAGGCGGUGUAGUUCUGACAGAAUUCACUAGAACUUCUCAAGAUGUCCAAGAUUGCAACCAUGCUCUGAUACCAACUGACACACCCCGUCCCGAAGGAGGGCAUGCUGGCCGUCACGUGAUAGUGACGUAACCAUUUACACAGUACGGAAGCUUUAAGAUACAAUUUAUAAGUUGAUACACCCGAAGGUGAGUCCUACUUUUGUCCAAUCUGUCAGAACACCGUCGAAUUCCUCGUAGUCACCACACCUUUGUGAUUCCUGAACCUGGAGGGGCGCAAAACCAAAAAUUGAGUGGGUCAGUAAAACAAUUCUUUUCCAAAUCCAAACAUUUCUCAAAAACGUUGUAACCCCUCUCCCGUAAAACCUGUAUACUUUCCCAGAAAUGUAAAAUAUAAAUAUACAUAUAUAUUCUCAAUACUUCAAUUCAUUAACUCAACAUUUUUUUCUUUAUCAAUCAUGCCAUGCCAUGUCUAAUUCAACAGUUAAGUAUGGAUGCAUCAACAAUAAUCAUAUCAGGUGCAAGAAAGUAAUCAACCGGAGGCCCUCUAAUAGCCCUGUACGGUUGAACCUAGAGCUCAAAAUCUAUCACUCUCACUCUGCCGGAGUCACCAACUGUGACCUGUACGGCCUAUUGCCGGAGUCACUAGCUGUAACCUGUACGGCCUUCUGCACAUAAGUCGGAACCACCUAAUGUAGUAUGUACGACUUAAUGGUUAAUAUUACGCUCUAGUGCUUUCUCAUCAAUCAUCUGUGCACAUAAUCUAAGGUCACCCACCAGUCGAAAUCUCACUAACACUCUUCGACUGGCCCGUCGCACCCACUCCGCGUGGACUGUGCGACCAGCAUCUACUUGGAUCCAAGGCGAGCGUGCGAUGCGGUGAAUACUAUAAGCACUAAACCAUGGUGCAGGAUUUGAGCUCAAUAUACAUCAACAUCAUCAUAACAGUAAUUAAAUACUCACCUGAUACUCACCUGUGCGUCCGCCGCACCAUUCAUUCAUAUGCAUCAUAUAACAAUUCAUAUC
This 6412-nucleotide long non-coding RNA is filed under the name Malus domestica (apple). RNAcentral's name for it is "long non-coding RNA (MDOM_LNC006076)". The record is from RNAcentral. Lineage: Eukaryota; Viridiplantae; Streptophyta; Magnoliopsida; Rosales; Rosaceae.